RNAcentral lists this long non-coding RNA (642 nucleotides) under Cicer arietinum (chickpea). RNAcentral's name for it is "long non-coding RNA (CARI_LNC002499)". Lineage: Eukaryota; Viridiplantae; Streptophyta; Magnoliopsida; Fabales; Fabaceae. The record is from RNAcentral.
UCACAAGGAGACGCGUGUUCUAUUUCCAAACUUAAGUUAUGUUCCAAAACCAAUUUCUCACCUUUAUCCCCCAAAUCCCUAUCCCACAUUCUGAAAUCCUCACGCAUCAAAUCUCCAAAUUUCUUAAAUCAUCCAAAUUUUUCUCUAUGUUCGAGAUGCAUGAUGUGCUGUCAUGCAUUGAGGAACUUUAAUGCUACGAUACUUCAAAGUUUGUGGCAGCCUCUUUCUCUUGUCACCAAAAAAAGAACCCUCUUUCACUUUUAUGAUUGUUCUAAGCAUUCUUUCCAUCGCGCCAUCGCGCCAUCGCAACCUAGCAUUGUCAUCUGGCUCCCAUUGCCUCUGUACCAGUUCAUAUUUUCAUCCAUCGCCCAAUGCGGUAGCCUCUAUUCCAAUCAUGUCGUCGUCCACUCCAGUUCCAUUUUCCAAUUCGCGUCCACAAUGUCGUAAGAUACUCUCACAGUGUUAUAUAGAGAAAAAAGUUGUUAUCUUUAUAGGGUUUUCUUGUAAUUCUUGAGAACAUUUCACUUUUUAUGUGUUUCUUUCUCAUGACUAUCUUUGUUCUUGCUUUUGUUUGUAGAUAAUGGGUGUUAUUUGCAUUACUUUAUUUAUACCUUAUAGCAAUAAAAAUAUAUAAAAUGUUUC